Long non-coding RNA from Pan paniscus (pygmy chimpanzee), 508 nucleotides. The record is from Ensembl. Lineage: Eukaryota; Metazoa; Chordata; Mammalia; Primates; Hominidae.
AUUAUGAAGUGGGCCUCAGGAUGGGAGUGGAAACAGAGCCUCUUGUUCACACUCCACACCCUCAUCUUCCAGCAGUGAGGGUAGACUAUUAAGGCUUUCAUGUCAUCCAGGAUCAAGGCAAUGGAUUAAUGGAGACUCUAGACAUUUGUUUCCUCACCAGUGAAAAUUAAAUGAAGACCCAGGAAUCACUACAGCUAUGGGGAUGAGAAGGACAUUUCAGCAGCUAGAGUAUGGUGAAAUAUGGCAGGCACACAGGCCUGAGACUGGAGUAUGGCUUCCUACUUCUUCCUCCGCAAAUUAAAGACAGCGAGCCCCAGGGUGCUAAUCCAACUGAGCUGCCACUCCAACUACAAUUAGCGAAGCUGAACAAGAAAGGAGAGAUGGAAAACCUGCCCCUAAAUGAGGUAUCCUAACCUCAUGCGUUUUCCAGUGAAGCGAAUUACAAAGGCGAGUUCAGAAAGAAAAAUGAACCGGGGAACCUGAAUCUUGCCUUGAGGCAUAGAACUGA